This 457-nucleotide ribosomal RNA is filed under the name Ureibacillus sp. R-26920. RNAcentral's name for it is "bacterial SSU rRNA". It matches the Rfam family "Bacterial small subunit ribosomal RNA", at positions 31 to 480 of the family's 1533-position model. Lineage: Bacteria; Bacillati; Bacillota; Bacilli; Caryophanales; Caryophanaceae. The record is from RNAcentral.
GAACGCUGGCGGCGUGCCUAAUACAUGCAAGUCGAGCGAACCAAUUGAAAGCCUAGCUUUCAUGAGGUUAGCGGCGGACGGGUGAGUAACACGUGGGUAACCUGCCCUAUAGACUGGGAUAACUCGCGGAAACGCGUGCUAAUACCGGAUAAYACAUCARAGUGCAUGCUUUGAUGUUGAAAGAUGGUUCUGCUAUCACUAUAGGAUGGGCCCGCGGCGCAUUAGCUUGUUGGUGGGGUAACGGCCUACCAAGGCGACGAUGCGUAGCCGACCUGAGAGGGUGAUCGGCCACACUGGGACUGAGACACGGCCCAGACUCCUACGGGAGGCAGCAGUAGGGAAUCUUCCACAAUGGGCGAAAGCCUGAUGGAGCAACGCCGCGUGAGCGAAGAAGGUCUUCGGAUCGUAAAGCUCUGUUGUAAGGGAAGAACAAGUGCAGUAGUAACUGGCUGCACCU